Daphnia carinata is the source of this 444-nucleotide long non-coding RNA. RefSeq lists it as uncharacterized. Lineage: Eukaryota; Metazoa; Arthropoda; Branchiopoda; Diplostraca; Daphniidae. The transcript has 4 exons. The record is from RefSeq and is a predicted model, not a curated record.
GAAUUGGGCGACAACGAUAGCGUACACUCGGUAGCAGACGAUUGCUGAAGAGAAAAGUUGUUUUUGUAUGAAAUUACAAAUUUUUACGAAGGACCUGAAGCCGUCCAUCACCUCUACUCUAUAACCUUUCUUGAGGAAUUCAAACAUGUUUCGAGGAGUGUUGACAUUUGGUGUUGGAAUCUAUGCCGGAAUUUACCUCAGUCAAAACUACCAGAUUCCGAGAGUGGACGAGCCAAAAGUCGUGUGGGAAAAGAUCCAGUCCCUCAUGGAGCAGUACAAGAAGCCUCCACCAACGGGCGACAAGUGAAGCCAAAUAGCGCCUGCACCCCAUUUUCUUUUUUUUUCCAAUUUGCAGCCAAACUUCCAUAAAAUGAAUAUGACAUGUAAUUGUCCCAGUCUCGUGUUUAGGGAAUAAUAUCAAUACAAAUGCCAAUUGCAAGUGCA